GAUGAACGCUGGCGGCGUGCCUAAUACAUGCAAGUCGAGCGAACAGACGAGGAGCUUGCUCCUCUGACGUUAGCGGCGGACGGGUGAGUAACACGUGGAUAACCUACCUAUAAGACUGGGAUAACUUCGGGAAACCGGAGCUAAUACCGGAUAAUAUAUUGAACCGCAUGGUUCAAUAGUGAAAGACGGUUUUGCUGUCACUUAUAGAUGGAUCCGCGCCGCAUUAGCUAGUUGGUAAGGUAACGGCUUACCAAGGCGACGAUGCGUAGCCGACCUGAGAGGGUGAUCGGCCACACUGGAGCUGAGGCACGGUCCAGACUCCUACGGGAGGCAGCAGUAGGGAAUCUUCCGCAAUGGGCGAAAGCCUGACGGAGCAACGCCGCGUGAGUGAUGAAGGUCUUCGGAUCGUAAAACUCUGUUAUUAGGGAAGAACAAAUGUGUAAGUAACUAUGCACGUCUUGACGGUACCUAAUCAGAAAGCCACGGCUAACUACGUG
This 497-nucleotide ribosomal RNA is filed under the name uncultured bacterium. RNAcentral's name for it is "partial 16S ribosomal RNA". It matches the Rfam family "Bacterial small subunit ribosomal RNA", at positions 28 to 507 of the family's 1533-position model. The record is from RNAcentral.